GAUGAACGCUAGCGGCAGGCUUAACACAUGCAAGUCGAGGGGCAGCGCGGGUAGCAAUACCUGGCGGCGACCGGGCAAACGGGUGCGGAACACGUACAGAACCUACCUUUAUCGUGGGGCAUAGCCCGAAGAAAUUCGGAUUAACUCCCAUAACAUAGAAGAGUGGCAUCACUAGACUAUUAAAAAUUUAUUGGAUAAAGAUGGCUGUG
RNAcentral lists this ribosomal RNA (209 nucleotides) under uncultured bacterium. RNAcentral's name for it is "partial 16S ribosomal RNA". It matches the Rfam family "Bacterial small subunit ribosomal RNA", at positions 28 to 233 of the family's 1533-position model. The record is from RNAcentral.